Molecule: ribosomal RNA, 468 nt
Filed under: uncultured bacterium
Lineage: Bacteria
Description: partial 16S ribosomal RNA
Rfam family: Bacterial small subunit ribosomal RNA
Source: RNAcentral
GAUGAACGCUGGCGGCGUGCUUAACACAUGCAAGUCGAACGGAAAGGCCCUGCUUUUGUUGGGUGCUCGAGUGGCGAACGGGUGAGUAACACGUGAGUAACCUGCCCUUGACUUUGGGAUAACUUCAGGAAACUGGGGCUAAUACCGGAUAGGAGCUCCUGCUGCAUGGUGGUGGUUGGAAAGUUUCGGCGGUUGGGGAUGGACUCGCGGCUUAUCAGCUUGUUGGUGGGGUAGUGGCUUACCAAGGCUUUGACGGGUAGCCGGCCUGAGAGGGUGACCGGCCACAUUGGGACUGAGAUACGGCCCAGACUCCUACGGGAGGCAGCAGUGGGGAAUAUUGCACAAUGGGCGGAAGCCUGAUGCAGCAACGCCGCGUGCGGGAUGACGGCCUUCGGGUUGUAAACCGCUUUCGCCUGUGACGAAGCGUGAGUGACGGUAAUGGGUAAAGAAGCACCGGCUAACUACGUG